CGUGUAGGCGGCCCAUCAAGUCAAAUGUAAAAUACAACGGCUCAACCGUUGGCCUGCGUUUGAAACUGAAGGGCUAGAACUUGGUAGAGGGUGAUGGAAUUCCCGGUGUAGCGGUGAAAUGCGUAGAUAUCGGGAAGAACACCAAAGGCGAAGGCAGUCAUCCAUACCGAAGUUGACGCUGAGGCGCGAAAGCGUGGGGAGCAAACA
RNAcentral lists this ribosomal RNA (207 nucleotides) under uncultured bacterium. Its description in RNAcentral is "partial 16S ribosomal RNA". It matches the Rfam family "Bacterial small subunit ribosomal RNA", at positions 568 to 774 of the family's 1533-position model. The record is from RNAcentral.